AUGUCCACCGGCGACAAUUGCUACUACCCGUCGGAAAGGUUCACCGUCGGCGGGUACGACUGGGCCGUCCGCUUCUACCCCAACCAACUGGGCUCCCACAUAUCCAUCCUCCUCGUGCUCCUCAGCGAACCCAAGGAUGGCACCAUGGUCGGCGUAAGGUUCGGAUGCGCCGUGCUGGACAGGUCCGGCAAGCCACCGGCGGAGCUCUGGCAUAGCUCCUCGACCGUCCUGUCUUUCUACGGCGAAGAGUGGGGAUUUUGGAGAUUUGCGCCGCACGAUGUUCUGGAGGACCCAGAUUACCUUGAGGGGGACUGCCUCACCCUGAGUUGCACUGUCUCUGUUCUCAGGAAACCGCAACUGUCGUCCGACUGA
Molecule: ribosomal RNA, 372 nt
Filed under: Triticum aestivum (bread wheat)
Lineage: Eukaryota; Viridiplantae; Streptophyta; Magnoliopsida; Poales; Poaceae
Description: partial small subunit ribosomal RNA
Source: RNAcentral